This is a long non-coding RNA of Ictalurus punctatus (channel catfish), 4138 nucleotides long. Lineage: Eukaryota; Metazoa; Chordata; Actinopteri; Siluriformes; Ictaluridae. The record is from Ensembl.
GAGAGAGAGAGAGAGAGAGAGAGACUGCAUUUGUCUUUAAUCACACUGGAACACAUUUCUCCUCUGAGAGCCACUUCUUCCUCUGCUGUGUUCAUUUCCUCCUUAAUUUUAAGCUGUGUUUAACUAGAACGUGUCUCAGACGUGUCUCACUCCACACUGACUAGACUUGAAAUUGCUGACGUUUCUUAUUCUAAUCUCAAUUAAUUUAUGCUUUUGUCUUUGUGUGUGUGUGUGUUGCACUCUCCUGCUGAUGUGCACUUGCCUUUUCCCGUUUCCAGCCGAGUGUCUUCCUGCCAGAGGGCGAGAGAAAGAGGCAGCCCACGGAGCGUGCACACACACACCAGCUUCUCAGGGUUAGACACAGUGUGAGGUUCCAGAUCCUGAAAUACUCCUCUCAUCCCCCAAUUUCACUUCUUUACUCCUGCUGUUUGUUCACUUCUCUUGCUCACCUCCCCCCCACGGUCCCUUGUCGUCAUGGUCACCGCAGAAGCUUUGUCUCAUCUAGCAAACACAGAGUGGUUUACGUUACGUAGCGCAGACUGACUUAUUUUAACAUGCUAUAUAGCGCGUGUGUAUGUGUGUAGCAUGUGCAGUGACCGUCGUGUUUUGAGCAUUAACACAAUCUCAAUGUGUUUUAUUCCUGUGCUCUGUGGCUGUAAUCCGAUCGGCUCCAUUUCCACUUCCGCUAUCAUUCCUGCUAACAUAAUUACUGAGACAGGAGCAGCCCCACACACACACACACACGGUCCAUGUUCUACUGUAACGAGAAUAAGCGCUAUUGCAAUUUCAACAUCAACCUCUGACUGACAUUAUUCUAGCAAAGUGAUGCUGAAUAAUAAUUAUUAUUAGUGUGUGUGUCACUCUGCCGUGUUGACCUUUGACCUGUGUGAUCAGUUAUGAGGAGCGAGCACGGUAUCUGGAGUCGAUCGUGCAGCACCACGUGGAGUUGAGCACGUUUGAGGACUACGCAGCGCGCAUGUUUAGCCCUGCCCCCUUCCACCACCCUCCCAGCGAAUCAGAUGAUAAUCAUACACUCAUGUGUGUCUAAAGGUUCCUUCCUGGAGAACCCGGCGUGUGAGAACCCGAGUGUGCCGCUGGACGCCGGUGAUGCAUCAUCUCCCAUCUCUCCUCGAGCCAGCAAGAGCCGCAUGUCCAUGAAGCUGCGCCGCUCCUCGGGAUCCGCCAACAAGACCUGAACACACACGCACAAAACACACAGAGCACAUAGAUCACUAAAACAUAUACGCACUGCACACUCCACGCUCUCACACGCACACACACGUAGUCAUGUGUUGGUAACUGUCUGUACAUCAUGAUACUUUGAUCAAUUCUGAACCCACGAUUUCUGAUGAAAGGUUACUGAGGAACCCGACGCCAUGGUAACGGUGAUAGCGGUGGUGAUGCGUACCGGGUGUCUGUUCCGAUGCAGUGUUACGGAGCUCAGACCGGAUUAAACAUGGACUGAUCACAAACUGCACUCUUCCUCAGCUUCAGUUACUGAUGUGUUUAUAAACUCUGUACACAAGAGGAAAGAAGUGGACCCGUCUCGCUCGCUCUCUCUCUCUGUGUGUGUGUGUGUGAAAUGAAACACAGCCACGUCCUCCUGUUACACCAGUCCUUCUUUCAUUGCUUUAACGUUUUUAUCUCAUGACGACACUACUGUUCUUCUACACUCUAACAACACGUCCUCUUUACCUCAGACGCACUCGGUCAGUGUGAGACAUUGGAGCUAAUGACGCUAACAAGUAAUGGAAACUUAAGGCCUCCAGUUUAGCAUGAUACACCUGUGUGUGAGGCUCCACCCACUGCAGUGUCUCCUAUGUUGUGUUUUUUUUUUUUUUUUUACAGGUGUAGAUUUUGGGGAAAAUAAAGUCGUCGGGACUCAAUUUCAUUUGUUCCCGUUUUCAUAACAAAGUGAACUAGGUUAAAAAAAAUAAAUCCUACACAGUGUGUAAAAAUAAAACAGGGGAAUGAUGAUAAUUAAAUGAUUAAUAGGGGUUAGUGACACAGGAAAACGGCUAUAAACUCAAUCACGGGGACGAAUAAUUCCGCGAGGAGUCAAAGUAAAGCACUCGGUAAUAAAACUGGAGUCGAGACUGGGAUUAAAACACUAAACCCGAGGCUACAGGCUUCUGUUAUUUGUUAGCCACGUUAGCAUCGUAGCCGCAGUGUAAGAUGAAAUAUGGAAAGGUGUUCUGUUGCUCGAGUGCGUUUGGAGGAAACGGCGACUCUGGGCGCAUUUCGUUUCAUUAGAUUGUGUUUUUCUGUUGUACAGAAAUGUGUGUGUGUGUGUUUGUAUAUAAAUAUAAAUAUAAAUGUGAGCGAAAUCUGCAUAUUUAAUGGUUGUGGAUGAGCAGAAUCUGGUCUGUGUACAUAUUUAACAGGAUUUAAAGAAAAGAAAAAAAACACUAAACAAAACGAGACUCGAGUUCGGUGCUGAAGCUUCAUAGCUCUGUCGAGUCUCUCUCACACACACACACACUCUCUCUCUCUCUCUCUCUCUCUGCAGCCAGGAGGAGGCUCUUAUUUUCCUACAGACGGGUAAAACUUUAAUUAAAAGCCGACAUCAUCAUCAUCACGAGGUCAGAGUUGAACUCUGGAGCUAAAGAUAAACCAGACCAAACUGAAGAGCGACGCAUUACAGUCCUGGAUACACACUGCAGCAAAAGUUUGUGCCCCCCAUAGACAUGCACUGAUUAACGCUGACUUUUAAAGCUUGCUUUUUUUUCCCCUCUUUUUUUUUAAAAAACACUUAAGAAAACAUUACAGAAUCUAAAGUAUUUUUCAUUGUUGGUUUUAUUUCCUGAAAGUGUCAUUUUUGAAACCGUGAAUUUUUUUUACCGCCUUUGAAAUGACCACGAACAGAUGAGUCAUUUCCUCUUUUUUUUUUAUUAUUUACUCAUUUCCUCUUCCUUUUCAACCCAUCAAUAUUCUAAUUUUGGAAUGCCGGCACAUCCUCCUGACAUCUCGAACAGCUGUUAGUCACACGAUGUUACCGUGACGACCCAUCACCAACGUUACACUACAGGAUGUGCUCACCUGGUCAUUGUACAGUAAUUUGGAUACAUGGACGUGAUUGGAGAUUAUUUUGUGACAUCACAAACCAAGUUCCGUAGCCAUAGCCCCGCCCCUAAAUCAGUUUUCUAUGCCGAUGUUCUGAGGAAGUCUCUGGUUUGAAGGUUAAAAAGGUAAAAAAUGUGAGUUUCUGUCAAAUCGAUCUAAAAUCUAAAGACGUUAACGUGACAGCGUGGAGUGUUGCGGCUGCUCGGCAGGUGUUCAGGGCGGUAUAGAUCGGGACAGUUAUCGAUUGUUUGUGCUGUAAAUGCGACGCAUCCCAGAAGCCUGAAUAGUUUGGACACAGGCUCCAGAUGGUUUUAUAUCAGAAAGCUGAAACGUGCACACGCUGGAACGUGGACGUGCGAGACAUUGGUGUAAGUUACUGCUGAGAGAGAGAUAGCUGCAUGACGCACGUGCUUACUGCAUGCCUUAGGGAGAAACACACACACACUCAUCUACAUAUUUGUAAAGAGGAAAAUCAGAUGUGCAACUGAACAAACAAAUAAAAAGUAUUAUUCUCACAUACACCAGCGUCUGUUUUAUUUGGAGUUAUUAUUAAAGUAUGUGUUUAUUACAGUAAUUUAUAUUUAUUUCAAAAAUUUAGAACGCUGUUCAAAGUUCUUUAUAGUUUGAAGGAAAAAAAACGAAAUAAACAAAAAAGUCAAAAAUAUUUAAAAAACAGUAAACUGGCAAAUAAUUUUUAAAAAUGUAAUAAACAGAAGUGGCAAAGAACCAAAUAAUACCAAUAAAAAACAUUUUUUUAAAGUAUGAAGUGUAUAAUUGAAAUUAAAUUACAAAAAAUAAAUACUACUGCACUAUGUAAAAAAUAAAGUGAAAAAAGUGUGAAAAAGAAACACUUUGAAGCUGCUUUUUUUUUUUUUUAAUUUUAAAUCUGAGAAUCGUGACCGGUUUUUAGUCUCACGUAGCUUUACUCACUUUAUGAUCCUGAAAUAAUCAUCAUUUCAUUUUUCUUCAUUUAUCUCUACAUAGUGUUUUGAAUGAAAUACUGCACAGUGGGAUCAACUUCAACCGUUUCAGCAUCAACAGCACCAGCGAGGAACAUGAGAGAAACUGCUCUGGC